Molecule: ribosomal RNA, 253 nt
Filed under: uncultured bacterium
Lineage: Bacteria
Description: partial 16S ribosomal RNA
Rfam family: Bacterial small subunit ribosomal RNA
Source: RNAcentral
UACGUAGGGGGCAAGCGUUGUCCGGAAUCAUUGGGCGUAAAGAGCGCGUAGGCGGUCCGGUAAGUCCGCUCUGAAAGUCCGGGGCUCAACCCCGGGAGGCGGGCGGAUACUGUCGGGCUAGAGUCCGGAAGAGGCGAGUGGAAUUCCUGGUGUAGCGGUGAAAUGCGUAGAUAUCGAGAGGAACACCUGCGGCGAAGGCGGGUUGCUGGGCUGAUACUGACGCUGAGGCGCGAAAGCGUGGGGAGCGAACAGG